Molecule: ribosomal RNA, 439 nt
Filed under: uncultured bacterium
Lineage: Bacteria
Description: partial 16S ribosomal RNA
Rfam family: Bacterial small subunit ribosomal RNA
Source: RNAcentral
CUACGGGGGGCACCAGUGGGGAAUAUUGCACAAUGGGGGAAACCCUGAUGCAGCAACGCCGCGUGGAGGAUGACGCAUUUCGGUGUGUAAACUCCUUUUAUAUAGGAAGAUAAUGACGGUACUAUAUGAAUAAGCACCGGCUAACUCCGUGCCAGCAGCCGCGGUAAUACGGAGGGUGCAAGCGUUACUCGGAAUCACUGGGCGUAAAGCGCGCGCAGGCGGCCCCUUAAGUUGGAUGUGAAAGCCUACGGCUUAACCGUAGAACUGCAUCCAAAACUGAGGGGCUAGAGUCUGGGAGGGGAAGAUGGAAUUAGUUGUGUAGGGGUAAAAUCCGUAGAGAUAACUAGGAAUACCAAAAGCGAAGGCGAUCUUCUGGAACAGUACUGACGCUGAGGCGCGAAGGCGUGGGGAGCAAACAGGAUUAGAUACCCCAGUAGUC